RNAcentral lists this ribosomal RNA (478 nucleotides) under uncultured bacterium. RNAcentral's name for it is "partial 16S ribosomal RNA". It matches the Rfam family "Bacterial small subunit ribosomal RNA", at positions 28 to 507 of the family's 1533-position model. The record is from RNAcentral.
GAUGAACGCUGGCGGCGUGCCUAACACAUGCAAGUCGAACGGAGUCCAGCCUUCAAGACCUUCGGGUCAAAGAGGGGAAGACUGAGUGGCGGACGGGUGAGUAACACGUGGGCAACCUGGCUCAUAGAGGGGGAUAACAGAGAGAAAUUUCUGCUAAUACCGCAUAAGCACACACUGCCGCAUGGCAGAGGGUGAAAAGAGAAUCGCUAUGAGACGGACCCGCGUCUGAUUAGCCAGUUGGCAGGGUAAGAGCCUACCAAAGCGACGAGCAGUAGCCGAACUGGGAGGAUGAACGGCCACAUUGGGACUGAGACACGGCCGAAACUCCUACGGGAGGAAGCAGUGGGGGAUAUUGCACAAUGGGGGGAACACUGAUGCAGCGGCGCCGCGUGAGUGAAGAAGUAGUUAGGUAUGUAAAGCUCUAUCAGCAGGGAAGAUAUUGACGGUACCUGAAUAAGAAGCCCCGGCUAACUACGUG